This 543-nucleotide ribosomal RNA is filed under the name uncultured fungus. RNAcentral describes it as "SSU rRNA". It matches the Rfam family "Eukaryotic small subunit ribosomal RNA", at positions 549 to 1098 of the family's 1831-position model. Lineage: Eukaryota; Fungi. The record is from RNAcentral.
UGGAGGGCAAGUCUGGUGCCAGCAGCCGCGGUAAUUCCAGCUCCAAUAGCGUAUAUUAAAGUUGUUGAGGUUAAAAAGCUCGUAGUUGAACCUUGGGCCUAGCCGGCCGGUCCGCCUCACCGCGUGCACUGGCUCGGCUGGGUCUUUCCUUCUGGAGAACCGCAUGCCCUUCACUGGGUGUGCUGGGGAACCAGGACUUUUACUCUGAAUAAAUUAGAUCGCUUAAAGAAGGCCUAUGCUCGAAUACAUUAGCAUGGAAUAAUAGAAUAGGACGUGUGGUUCUAUUUUGUUGGUUUCUAGGACCGCCGUAAUGAUUAAUAGGGACAGUCGGGGGCAUCAGUAUCCAAUUGUCAGAGGUGAAAUUCUUGGAUUUAUUGAAGACUAACUACUGCGAAAGCAUUUGCCAAGGAUGUUUUCAUUAAUCAGGAACGAAAGUUAGGGGAUCGAAGACGAUCAGAUACCGUCGUAGUCUUAACCAUAAACUAUGCCGAUUAGGGAUCGGACGGCGUUAUUUUUUGACCCGUUUGGCACCUUACGGGAAAC